AUGAACAAGUUCGUUAGCAUUAUUCAGCAGUAUUGUGCUGGUGGUGUGAACCUUGAUUCACAACGUGAUAACUGCCGUGCUGAAGAUAACCAGAUGGCAUGGAUGCGUUGCUCAGGUCACCAACCUCUCCUAAUUGGACUUGCUAGAUCUUUCCUAAGACAACUAAACUCUUCCAUAAUUCUGUACUUUCCUAAUGAACUCUUAAUAUCCGUCUCUCCCAUGGACUUAUGUUUUAUAUUGUUACUGUAUGCUUACAUCUUGCAUAAAACCAACACCAUUUAUACUUCACACCCUAGAUGA
RNAcentral lists this ribosomal RNA (300 nucleotides) under Triticum aestivum (bread wheat). RNAcentral describes it as "partial small subunit ribosomal RNA". Lineage: Eukaryota; Viridiplantae; Streptophyta; Magnoliopsida; Poales; Poaceae. The record is from RNAcentral.